Molecule: ribosomal RNA, 356 nt
Filed under: beta proteobacterium K-2052
Lineage: Bacteria; Pseudomonadati; Pseudomonadota; Betaproteobacteria
Description: bacterial SSU rRNA
Rfam family: Bacterial small subunit ribosomal RNA
Source: RNAcentral
AGCACUCUAAUGAGACUGCCGGUGACAAACCGGAGGAAGGUGGGGAUGACGUCAAUUCCUCAUGGCCCUUAUGGGUAGGGCUUCACACGUCAUACAAUGGUCGGUACAUAGGGUUGCCAAGCCGCNAGGUGGAGCCAAUCCCAGAAAGCCGAUCGUANUCCGGAUCGCAGUCUGCAACUCNACUGCGUGAAGUCGGAAUCGCUAGUAAUCGCGGAUCAGCAUGCCGCGGUGAAUACGUUCCCGGGUCUUGUACACACCGCCCGUCACACCAUGGGAGUGGGUUUCACCAGAAGAGGCUAGCCUAACCGUAAGGGGGGCGGUCGCCACGGUGAGAUUCAUGACUGGGGUGAAGUCGU